This is a long non-coding RNA of Uranotaenia lowii, 1098 nucleotides long. RefSeq lists it as uncharacterized. The transcript has 4 exons. The record is from RefSeq and is a predicted model, not a curated record. Lineage: Eukaryota; Metazoa; Arthropoda; Insecta; Diptera; Culicidae.
CCCACUUCACCCAAAUCAUCUGUCAUCCCGCACAGGCACUCUCUUUCUCAGAGAAAUCCAGGGGCGUCGUGCUCAACCAGGGCCGUCAUGGGGAAGUGUGGGCACCCAGAGAACGACGCACCAUGUAAAUUUGCCGUAUGUAUGGGCGUCGGCCAAAAAUCAAGGUCUAUCGAAUAUCGGCAAUGCAAAGCAUGUUCUUUCUGUCUGUGAUCUCGUUAGGAGUAAGAAGUGUGCGUCGUGUGUAGUUCAAAGCUAAAAGUACAAAAUAAAAACGUAUUACAAAAAUACAAACAGUAGUACGGUGCGCGGUUAAAAAAAUAUAUAAGUACGAUUUAGAAAUUAUAAAAAGAACAAAUAUCGUGAAGACAAACUCAACAAAAACCACCACAAAGAAAAGGUCCAAGAGGGCCUUUUCUUGUUUUGUCGGCUUAUUCACCAGCUAUUCGUGAACUGCAACCACACGGCGACGUCUAACAUCCAAAAUCAACCAGACAGAAAGACCACACAACAUAACCUUGUCGGAAGGCUUUUGGCUGUGGCCAUCCGGUGGCGCUAGGACCGCUUGAUAACCUAGUUUGGGCCAUUACGAGGUUAACGACGAAGGCAAGGCUAAAACAUAACCUUGUCGGGCUAUUACGAGGGUAUCGGAAAGAUCAUCCGGUACAACAAGGCCGGAAUCACAAAUCGCAACUUGCAGGCUCUUCCGGGACGCCGGAUAGAGUCUGCUGUGAAUUCCGGAUUGCUGGUGGAAAAAUCAACAUAAUAUGGGAACCGAUGUCCCCAUAUGGUUCCAAUCAAUCGUCGUUGUCCGCCGAUCCAGCUGCCGCUAGUAGUUCCUGAUAAAUUCCGUGCACAAAAUCUAACCGCAAGUAUGCCUUAUAUGUGACGUCACCCCUGAAAAACUAUGUAAAUAAAACCCCCCACAUUAUGUAAAAUUUGAAAUCAGGUAGAAUACUUUACUGGAAUACUUUGUUAUUUUACACCUUAUCGAAAAUCGUUCUUUCAAUCCUUCCCUCUUAACAUUUCCAUUCACGAAAUUAUAUGCUUUGCCCGCCUCGGUUUUAACAUUUCUCAUCGUUUGGACUGGUUGCUAGCAUG